GACGAACGCUGGCGGCGUGCUUAACACAUGCGAGUCGAACGGAAAGGCCCUGCUUGCAGGGUGCUCGAGUGGCGAACGGGUGAGUAACACGUGGGUGAUCUGCCCCUUACUUUGGGAUAAGCCUGGGAAACUGGGUCUAAUACUGGAUAGGACCAUGCUGUAGGUGGUGUGGUGGAAAGAUUAGUUUCGGUAAGGGAUGAGCUCGCGGCCUAUCAGCUUGUUGGUGGGGUAAUGGCCUACCAAGGCGUCGACGGGUAGCCGGCCUGAGAGGGUGGACGGCCACAUUGGGACUGAGAUACGGCCCAGACUCCUACGGGAGGCAGCAGUGGGGAAUAUUGCACAAUGGGCGCAAGCCUGAUGCAGCGACGCCGCGUGGGGGAUGACGGCCUUCGGGUUGUAAACUCCCUUCAGCCAUGACGAAGCCCUUGUGGUGACGGUAGUGGUAGAAGAAGCACCGGCUAACUACGUG
RNAcentral lists this ribosomal RNA (469 nucleotides) under uncultured bacterium. RNAcentral's name for it is "partial 16S ribosomal RNA". It matches the Rfam family "Bacterial small subunit ribosomal RNA", at positions 28 to 507 of the family's 1533-position model. The record is from RNAcentral.